RNAcentral lists this ribosomal RNA (156 nucleotides) under Triticum aestivum (bread wheat). Its description in RNAcentral is "rRNA 5_8S_rRNA". It matches the Rfam family "5.8S ribosomal RNA". Rfam says of the family: 5.8S ribosomal RNA (5.8S rRNA) is a component of the large subunit of the eukaryotic ribosome. It is transcribed by RNA polymerase I as part of the 45S precursor that also contains 18S and 28S rRNA. Functionally, it is thought that 5.8S rRNA may be involved in ribosome translocation. Lineage: Eukaryota; Viridiplantae; Streptophyta; Magnoliopsida; Poales; Poaceae. The record is from RNAcentral.
GACUCUCGGCAACGGAUAUCUCGGCUCUCGCAUCGAUGAAGAAGGUAGCGAAAUGCGAUACCUGGUGUGAAUUGCAGAAUCCUGCGAACCAUCGAGUCUUUGAACGCAAGUUGCGCCCGAGGCCACUCGGCCGAGGGCACGCCUGCCUGGGCGUCA